AAAAUUGUUUUCAUAUAUGUUGUUUCAUGCAUUUAAAAAUUUAGUUUAGUAAUCAAACGCAAAUUCAAUAAGACAAAUAUAUAAUAAGCAACAUAUAUAUGUGAUUUUAAUUUACUGCAUAAAAACUAUAAAAUUAUUAUAUUUGGCAUAAUUAUACAAACAUUUAAAUAUGUGAGUAACAUUAAAAAUAUAUAAUAAUAAUUAUGUAAGUAUUUCCGCCUGUCACGCGGGUGACCCGGAUUCGAUACCCGACAACGGCGUAUUUUUGUUUUUUCAACAAAAAAAAAUGUGAAAAUAUAUACCCGCACGGUUGUGCGGGUGGAAAUCUAGUCUAUUAUUAUAACAAAUGUGUUUCUUCAUAAAAUUUAUAUCAAGUGUUUUUAUGAUUUUUAUUAUCAGUUGUUUUUAUAUGUUUAUGUGAUCCUUUUUAUCUAUAAAAUAUUAAUGCUGUGAAAUUUAUUGUUGCAAAAUUUAGUAAGAAAUUAACUUCAAAUUAUUUGCAAUAUAAUUAAUUUUACAAUGACAUGUAAUAUUAUUAAAAUUUUAAAAGACUAUAUAAUUUAAAUUAAGAAUGUUUAGCAAUAUAAUGUAAAACCAUAUUGUAAAUAUAUUUUUAUGUUUAUUAAUUGUAAAUGUGAUAUUUUAAUGUAAUAUCAGAAAAAUGUUUAAUUGUUUUGUUAACAUCAAAAUUAAAAUAUUGAAAUAAUUAAUUCAAAGUCUAUAUAAUUAAAGGUUGUUUGAUAAAUAUAAAUCGAAUGGGCCCCCAACAAAUUUGUUGUUGUCGUUUGUAGUCCAAUAAAACUAAUACUUAUUUUUGGUCUCAUAGACCAUUUGUAUAUAUGUACUAGAUUUUGACCCGCGCUUCGAAAGCGCGGGUAUUUUGGGUUAUAAACAAAAUUGAAUAUAAAUUAGUAUUUUGUGUUUAUUGUAUAUUAUUGUGUUAUAAAGUUGUAGUAUAUCGAAUAAGGAUAUUUGUAUAAAAAUAUAUGAUAUAUGAAUCAGUUUAUUUGAGAUUUUAUAUGUACACUCUUUUGCAACUCUCUCUUACGUAUGAGCGUUUUACCUGGAUACAAAAGAACGCUGAGAAACUAACACGAAAUACAGGUUUUGGUCCAAGGAUCAUGGCAAAGUACCUGUUGGAUUUUUUGGGCCUGUGGGUCCUUUGUUUUUUUUGGCCUGUGGAUAAUUUUUUAGGUUUUAAGUUAACAUUUUCGGUUAUAGUUUUGAGUUUCAGGUAAAAUUUCAAAAUUUUAAAAACGUAUUUCAGGUAAUCGAAUAAACUUUGGAUAUAUUUGGUCGAUCGAGUAAGAUUCGAGUAAAAUUUUGGGUUUUUUGAAUAUUUAAAUAUUUUGAGUAUUUAUUUGAUUUUAUUUUUCGUAUUUUGGCUUUUUCGUCUUAGUUUGAGUAUUUUUUGUUCCGGAUAUCCGAAUAGAUCUAAUUCAUUAUGUAUCCAAAUUAUAUAUAAUUUACAGGUACUUGAAUUAUAGAUUUGAACUGACCCGGAUCCAAAAGGAACCAACUUAAACCCAAACCAAAUUUUCUUCAAAACCUAGUUGGAUUCAAAUGUCUAGGAUCCGAAGAAAUCAGACUCGAAAGACAUCGAUUUGUGUCCGAUCCAAAGACCUGAAUAAACCUAUUUUUCUCAUUAUAUUUGGUGAGUAUUUUAUAAGAGUUACAUUUUUUCGGUUAACGAAACUUAUAAAUUACUUGGAAUAUUUUUGGGUAAUUUAAUAUUAUAGAUUUGUAGAAUUGUUUUUUCUAAUGUAUCCUUUUUGGAAAUUUUUUUAAAAAUAGUUUCAAUUCGUGAAAAUUUAAGACAUAUAUUAUAUUUUGGUUUGUGUUGUUUUUACCAAAAAAAUUAUAAAUAUAAAUCUGUGCAAAAUAUAACAUUAUGUUUAUAUUUUUUUAUAUCAAAAGUUAAUAUGAUAUUUUCAAAAAUAGCUGAACUAAACUAUUUAAUUUUAAAAUUCUUAACCCAUAAACACACUAAAAAUGGCCCAACAUAAACAUUGUAAACAAAGCCAAAAUACACACUAAAUUUUCCAGGAAUGAAACAACCAAGUUACGUUAUCAAAAAAGUUAACAACUCUGGAAAAUUCUCUUCAAGUGUCUUUCUCUCUCUGAUCGGUUCAGAUAAUGUUGCAUGUAUGAUCCGAUGAUAGAUCUGUUUAUUCCUGUCUCUCAAUACAAACCAAGCUUGGAGACCUCGAUCCAGAUUUUCCUAUUACUUCAGGUAAAUAAAGUUUCAUCAUUUAUCUUACUCGAUUAAUCACUAAAUAAAAAUAGAGUCUAACCCUUUUUACCAUUUUCUUUGAAAUUUUGAAUGUCGCAAUGGUGAUUUCUUUCUGGUUCUAAACAAUCACCGAUCAAGGGCAGGUAUAUCUCCCAUAUCUAACUCUUUAUAAUGUUUUUCUAAAUGUUUUGCAUGUUUGACGAUAUUAAGAUUAUAUAUGUAGCUCUUUCACUCUGUAUAAUAGAUUUUUUUUUUCUUAAUUUUUCAGAAGAAAAUACACUGUAUGAUGCUGAAGGACAUGAGGCACAGUCGAACCAAAUCCUUACAGUACACAGAUAAGUCUCGGACUAAAGGGUUAUUGAGUUGUCUUAUACCCUAGUUAAUUUCUAGGAUGUUCUAGAAUUUUAUUUGUUGCCUUAUUAAUGUUUACGAUUCAUGUGCAGGUCUUGCAGUGGCAGAGAAUAGUGGCAGAACUUUAUUAAUGUGACUCUAACCUUAAUCACAAAAACCUCAAACCUGAGAAAAAGAUAAGUUUUUAUUAGAUGACAUAAAUUUCAACGCAUACAGUGACUAUAUUAUAUUUAGUAUUUGUAAAAUCUAAACUGUUGACUAAUGUUUUCUCUUAAUUUUACAGAAGAGAGUCUAUAUGCUGUAUGAUGAUGAAGCAAAGUCAAACCAAACUUUCGAACCAGUAUACAGAUAAGUCUUGGAUUAUAGUUUAAAAGUCUAGAUUGUUGUAUAUUUGACUGAGUUGUCGUAUUAAUGUAUACAAUUGAAGUGCAUGCCGUGCAGUGUCAUAAUAGAGCCAGCGCUUUGUUCAUGUGAAGGUCAUGGGGACAGUGGACAUUCUGCAAUACGUUUCCAAGUGUGGAUUACUUUCACUUACUUUGGCUUCGAUCAAUCAAGUUGUUUCCCAUGGCCUAAUCGUAUCAAGAAUCCAACAAUUGUUGAAGCUUCUGUUUUUUAUUAUGAACAUCAGUAUCAAAUUAUCAAUAUUCAAAGAUUUGGUAAAGGUACUGUCUAAGAAAUGUAAAUCAGUGUGUCAUAGCAAUUGGAGUUUUUUUUUAAACGUAAUUGUUCUUUUGAUAUGUAAUUAAUUUUUUAUAUGUAGCUGUUACUUUGAUAUGUAAUGGAUGAUACAUUCGGUAGUUAAUUUAGCGUAGGUGUUGUUUAAAUGUUGUUUAAAUAAAAGGAAUUUCAAAAAAUACAUAAUUUAAUUAAAAGCAUACACUCAAAAUAUUCCAAUGGCAGAGAAGGGUAAAUACUUCAAAACUUCAAGGUGACUUCAAAAAAGGCCCUUCAGUUUUAAUAGUAUUGACUAGAUUUUGACCCGCGCUUUGAAAGCGCGGAAUUUUUCUUUUCGGUUCUACUUCGAUUGUUGUUUUAAGUUUUUAGGUUAAAGAGAUAAAACUGUUUGAUUAUGUAUAGAUUUGGCUCAAAUUAUUUGACCUGAUUAGUUUUUGAUAUUUGGUACAUUGAUUCCGUUCUUGGUUUAGUUCUAAUUUAGUUUAAUUUUUCAUGUUCUACAAAUAUAUAAAUCAAAGCGCAGGAUUUUUUUUGUCAUAAUUUUUUUUUAGAUUAAAAAGAUAUAAAAACCAUUCGAUUAUGUAUAGAUUUGGCUCAAAUUAUUUGACGUGAUUAGUUUUUGAUAUUUGGUACAUUGAUUCGGUUUUGGUUUAGUUAUAAUUUAGUUCAAUUUUUCAUGUUCUAUAAAUAUAUAAUUCAUUCUGAUUUAUAUGAAUAUUUUUUCUUCUUUACUUUUGUAUUUUGAGUUUGGUAUGUUUUAGUUUGAUUCGAUUUAUAUGUGGAGGUUUAAAUUUAUUUAAAAAAACUUGUCUUGCAUUUGACUCAUAACCAGUGUUUUUGAAACCCGACCCGGAUCUGCCGCGAUUGAACCGGUAAACCCGAUGACCCAAAAAAAAUCUGGUUUGGGUUUUGUGAAAAAUUAAUAUUUAGAAACCCGCAAAAAUCCAGUAAAACCUAGAACUCGAUACCGGUUGAACCACCAGGUGAACCAAUAAAUAACUUUUUUUUUUUAGUUUUAAAUUAUGUUUUUAGAUUAUGUUUUAUAUUUUCAGUUUCCAAUUAAGAAGUUAGGUGCUGACAAAAAAAAAGAAGUUAGGUUUUCCCUUUUCAGUUUUAUAUUUGUGAUUUUUAGAUUUUGAUGAAGAUUUCACUAUAGCACCUGUAGAAAAUGAAAUGAAAGAUGGUAGAGAGAACCAAAAUUAGUUGAUGUGAUUUGGUGUUAGUUUAUUUCCGUUAUUGACAAUUAUUACAAUGAUUUUUUACUUUUGGUUUAUUUUGUAUUUGAAGUUUAAUUUAUUAUUUACAUUAGACAUUUAAAUAUUUAUAAAUUUUAUGUCUUGAUAUUUUAAAGAUAUCAUAACUCUUACCUUGUUAGAGAAAAUUUUAAAUAGUCUAAACUAUUUUUUUGAUAUUUUGUAUGUCAAUUGAAAAUAAAAAAAUAUAAAAACUAAAGUUAAGUAUUUUCUAAAUGUUUUUAAACAUAAAAUAUAUACAUAUCCAAACUAUUAUUUUAAGUUUUCAAAAAUAUUUAGAAAAUAUUAAACUUUAGUUUCUAUAUUUUGUUUUACAUAGUUGAUAUAUUAUUAUAUAAUAAAAUUAAUUUAUUUAUUAACUCACGGUUCACCCGCGGUCGACCCAGUGACCCAGCAAUCCGGUAAGUCAUCCGGUUCAGUGUCCGGGUUGGGUUUUAAAACAUUGCUCAUAACUGAUUUUAAAAUAUUUUUAAUGAUAAAUUUUAUAACAAAUUAUAAAUUUAAUGCUUAAAGUUUAAAUAUAAGUAAAAAUUUUGCUACAUGAAUGUUUAAUUUGGAAUAAUAAACUAAAUGCAAAGUCUUCUACUUUAUUACAUUUAAUUCUGAAAAACGCUGAUCAUAUUUAUUUCAAAAACAUUCUGCAUACAUUGGCCAAGGUAUUAAAGACUUUUAAAAAAAUGUUUCAAAAAGAAAAGUCCAUCGUUAAUACAAAAGUUUUCAAUUUUAUGUCAAAUACUAACCGAAUACUUCCGGCAAUCAAGUUUAUUUGCCAAGUUUUGAGGUUUUGAUUUAGUGGAUUAUAUUUUUGGUAUUUGAAGUGGGAAAGUUUAGGAUUUAAAUAAUUUGGUCAACUAUAUUUGAAUAAUGCAACAUAUAGGAUUUAUGGUGCAAUCAUUUGUAAGCAAAACUUCUGUUUGGAAGUGACGACUGGUAAAAACAAUGAUAUUAACAGAUAUGUAUUGUUUUUAUUUUGAAGUUUGCAGAAUCCAAUAAACGUUCAAGCUUGGUAUUGCUGGAACAUCAUUCUCAAUAUACAAAGAGAUGGUAUAUCUAAUCUAUAAAAAAUGAAAAUUAGUGUUGAUGCAAUUGAAGUUUGUUUAAAAUGUAGAUGUUACUUUAUUAUUUAAUGAUACGUUAUGUUUCAUUAGGAAGACACUAUGUUACUUUUAAAAUAAAAGAAUUACGUAGCUGUAAUGUAGGUGUUUCUGUUUAAAUAAAAAGAAUUUCGAAAAUAUUGAUUUUAAUUAAAAGCAUAUGUUUAAAUAAAGUUAGUGGCAGUGUAUUGUAAAUACUUUAAAACUCUAAGGUGACCUCAAAAAAGGCCUUCAGUUUUAAUAGUAUUGAUUGAUUAUUUGUUUAAUAUGAUCCAUGCCCACAAAACCUUUUUUGGCAAACACACAAAAAUUCAUCUGUCUUUUUGCCUUCUUCAAGAAAAGUCUUGCUCUGAAAUAAAGAUUACUUUCUUGAAAUAGAAAACGAAAAUUGGGAGAUACAUCCUCCAUCGACACCAAUCUUUACAGGCAUUUCACUUCUCACUUAUUUUUUUUUUGAUCAAUAGAUCAUACGUUCAUCUGAAUCAUUUUUGAUAAAUAGAAACGCACUUACACACACACACACACAUAUAUAUAUAUAUAUUAUAUAUAUAAUUUUUUUUUGUCUUUCCAGAAAAGGGUUGCAUGUCGAAUCUGAUAUCAUAACUUUUUAAUCGGAUGAGCUUCAUAUUGUUUUGUAUAUCCAAAAAAGAUCUGUAAGAAAAGACAUUUCUCCAUCAAAAAAUCACACGAAGAUCGAGAGUUCAAGGAUCCAACUACUCCAAAAUGGUCACGUAAAUAUAAUCUAAAUUCAUUUUGAAAUUCUAAAGAUAGUAGGUUAAUCUGACCGAUUUACAAAAAAGUUUAAAAUCGAAAUCUAACUUUGUUUUUCUUUUUCGAAAUGUUGCAUGUCGAACGAUGGGUUGUGCGGAUUAUAGGAGUGACUUCUGAUGGUUUCAGAUAUAAUUGACAAAAAUAAGCAAUAAAGUUUGAUAUUGUUCAAACUUUGUCAAAACCAUUAAAGGUUUGUAAUCGAAAUGAUUUCUUUCUUCAAAAAAAAAUACUCUAUUUCCUGCUCUAAGAUUUGAUAUUCGUAACAUUCAUUGUAAAAUAUAGAUUAGUCUGUAAUCGAACAGAACUAUUAAAUUUUAUAUAAAAAUGAUUUGUGAUUCAGCUAUAUUAGUUAUGUUUUCUUUAUUGCAGCAUUCACAGGAGUUAACAUGUUGUGCCGUUGUACUACUCAAAUGAAAAGGACUGCAAGAAAUAAGUAAUAUGCAAUGAUGCUCAAAAACGAAGGACUGGUGGCUAUUUAUAAUCAUAAAUGUAUAUCUAAAAUAAUCGUUUGUUGUGUUUCUAUAAAAUAAUCAGAUUAUUUCCUUUACCUCAUGUAGUUGAAUCUAGAAAUCUAUGAUAUGAAGUUUUCCCUCGGGACCAUUGAACUUUAUAGGAUCUACAAAGAUUGAAAACAUAUAAAUUAUUUGAUCAAUAUGCUAUUUCUAAAACUGUAAAAUGUUAAAUAUUUUUGUUUUUGAAUUAUCUUAAACUUUGUUGUCUGCAAACACGAUCGUUUGUCCGAUCAAUUUUUUUUUUUAAUGUAGUUUGAAUUUUGAAGCCCUGCAAAAAUUAUAACAAUGAUCACAUGAAAAGAAAACAUACGCAAAACAGCAAAACGUAUUGAACUAUUUAAGUUUUUCUUCCAUUAAUUAACGAAAACAUAGACGCUUUUUGAUGAACCUGAUUUCGCUACAAUAACAAACAAAAAAAAAGUAAUCGUUCAAGUUGAUAUAUAUUUACCUUUUUAUCUGCAUUCGGAUGUUUCCAGGUGGUACUUUCACAUGAACGCUCCAUGCAGAUUUGAAAGGCUUAAGAACAGUUAGAUUGCUGAUUCUGAUUGUGGAACCCAUAAGUGUAUAUCACGGUUUUGGAGGUUUAAAAUGGUUAUUUUUGCUGGGUUUGAAAGGAUAAUUAUAUACUUCUUAUCGCAUGUAAAUUAUUAGGAUAGCAAACCAACUAAAUCGUUUUAAUUUAGGAAUAUUCUAGGUAUAUAUAUUAUUCGAUAUCUUAUAAGUUACAACAAUCUAUUCUUUAUGUUUUUGGAUGAUUAAAGUUGUUCAAUUUAGAUAAGAUAUAACAAUAUAGUUGCGAUUUUAUACCAGUUUAUUAGAUAGAAUAUCACAAUGUGUUGCGAUUAUACAGGGUAGUUUAUGCUUAAUUAUAUAUUAAAAAUUUUGCAAAAUAAUUGCAUUUGAAAAAGAUUUGCAAAUAAGCUUUAGCGAGUUUGUUUCAUAGUUGUUAAUCUCAGAAUUUAUAUUAUGUGAAUUUUAUAAAAUAAACAAAUCUGAUAAAAUCAUAGCAAAUUAAUACUCUGUAACUUGAAAUGAAUAAUUAUUGCAUUUUUCUAUUGUUUUUGUUUUUGGUGUACAUUUUGCUACGUGAAUUAGUUGUAGACUAUUGUGCUUUACAUGAGUACUAAAUUUCAAAUAUUACAGGUAUAAACUUUGAUGAUGAACUGGUGAAGAAGGAAGAUGUCAAGAUGAUGAAGUGGUGAAGAACAGUAUGGUGGCGAAGAGGAUGCUACGAUCUCUUUCUAGGUUUUAUUUCUAUAUUUGCUUCGUAAUUGUUAUUUUCCUGUCGGUUCUUGCAAUAUCAAAUUCUGUUUGUAUUAUAUGGUUGAAUAAUCAUGGUUUAAAUAAACCAUAAAUCUUUUAAAUAGAGGAUAAUAACUGUGAUUUACAAAAAAAAAAAAAAACAUUUAAUUAAAAGCAUAGA
Brassica rapa (field mustard) is the source of this 8312-nucleotide long non-coding RNA. RefSeq lists it as uncharacterized. The record is from RefSeq and is a predicted model, not a curated record. Lineage: Eukaryota; Viridiplantae; Streptophyta; Magnoliopsida; Brassicales; Brassicaceae.